GAGAGAAGAAAUCAAUCAGUAAAUCAUAAUCCUCCAACUGACUACACCAAGUCAUUGAAUCGAAUUAGGGUCAUGCUGAUUGAAAUGGCACCUAGAUCAGUCACAUUGAUUAACCUUAAUGGCAUAGGUUAACUCAAAUCACUUAGCGAUCUAAUCAAAAUAUAAUUCAUCAAAUUGGCUAAGUGAGUGAGAUCGAUAGGAGGGUCUGCUAAGUUUGCCUUAGACACCAUUGAAAUGGUCAGGUAAGCCGCUCUCAAUUAAAAACCAUC
This 269-nucleotide long non-coding RNA is filed under the name Elaeis guineensis (African oil palm). Its description in RNAcentral is "long non-coding RNA (EGUI_LNC040019)". The record is from RNAcentral. Lineage: Eukaryota; Viridiplantae; Streptophyta; Magnoliopsida; Arecales; Arecaceae.